Pteronotus mesoamericanus is the source of this 80-nucleotide small nucleolar RNA. RefSeq annotates it as small nucleolar RNA U2-19. NCBI's taxonomy places the organism in Eukaryota, Metazoa, Chordata, Mammalia, Chiroptera, Mormoopidae. The record is from RefSeq and is a predicted model, not a curated record. The transcript has a single exon.
GAUCAGUGAUGAAAGUAGCCAAAUCUGAGAAUGAGAAGAACUUUUAGCCUACCUGAUAUAUCAUCUUUAUAGUUCUGAGA